UUAGACUAUGAAAUAGUUGAUAAAGUGACAUUGUGAAUAGGCAUCCAUGCAUUAUAGGGUUGAGGUUAGUUUGUGGCUAAAUGUGAACAAGUUGGUAUAUUUCCAAUGUAGAAAACAUGUGGAAUGAUAAGAACCAUGAAUAUAGUACCCUAUGAAUGUGUAAACUGAUAGUGGACUAUGACAAUAAUGAAUGGCUAAAAUGAAUGGCAAACGGGCUCUGUUGCCACCCAUUUGUUUUC
RNAcentral lists this long non-coding RNA (239 nucleotides) under Ananas comosus (pineapple). Its description in RNAcentral is "long non-coding RNA (ACOM_LNC029243)". Lineage: Eukaryota; Viridiplantae; Streptophyta; Magnoliopsida; Poales; Bromeliaceae. The record is from RNAcentral.